UGGGGAAUUUUGGACAAUGGGCGCAAGCCUGAUCCAGCCAUGCCGCGUGCGGGAAGAAGGCCUUCGGUUGUAAACCGCUUUUGUCAGGGAAGAAAUCUUCUGAGUUAAUACCUCGGGAGGAUGACGGUACCUGAAGAAUAAGCACCGGCUAACUACGUGCCAGCAGCCGCGGUAAUACGUAGGGUGCAAGCGUUAAUCGGAAUUACUGGGCGUAAAGCGUGCGCAGGCGGUUUUGUAAGACAGAGGCGAAAUCCCCGGGCUCAACCUGGGAACUGCCUUUGUGACUGCAAGCUUGAGUGCGGCAGAGGGGGGAUGGAAUUCCGCGUGUAGCAGUGAAAUGCGUAGAUAUGCGGAGGAACACCGAUGGCGAAGGCAAUCCCCUGGGCCUGCACUGACGCUCAUGCACGAAAGCGUGGGGAGCAAACAGGAUUAGAUACCCUGGUAGUCCACGCCCUAAACGAUGUCAACUGGUUGUUGGGAAGGUUCCUUCUCAGUAACGUAGCUAACGCGUGAAGUUGACCGCCUGGGGAGUACGGCCGCAAGGUCGAAACUCAAAUGAAUUGACGGGGUCAUAGCUGUUUCCU
This 584-nucleotide ribosomal RNA is filed under the name uncultured bacterium. RNAcentral describes it as "partial 16S ribosomal RNA". It matches the Rfam family "Bacterial small subunit ribosomal RNA", at positions 355 to 1375 of the family's 1533-position model. The record is from RNAcentral.